AGUACCCCUCGACCCCUGGUCGGACUUGGACGCUGCCGUGUUCUCGGCUCGUCUCGAAAUUCAUUAGGCCCCUCGCGACCCAGCGAGCGUUGUAAGCUUUCGCUCGCCGUCGUCAAAGGAGCUUUGGUCCCGGAAGGGACGAGCCGUGCUCUCGAA
RNAcentral lists this unclassified non-coding RNA (156 nucleotides) under uncultured Hysterangiaceae. RNAcentral describes it as "sequence contains ITS2". Lineage: Eukaryota; Fungi; Basidiomycota; Agaricomycetes; Hysterangiales; Hysterangiaceae. The record is from RNAcentral.